AUUGAACGCUGGCGGCAGGCCUAACACAUGCAAGUCGAGCGGAUGAUGGGAGCUUGCUCCUGGAUUCAGCGGCGGACGGGUGAGUAAUGCCUAGGAAUCUGCCUGGUAGUGGGGGAUAACGUCCGGAAACGGGCGCUAAUACCGCAUACGUCCUGAGGGAGAAAGUGGGGGAUCUUCGGACCUCACGCUAUCAGAUGAGCCUAGGUCGGAUUAGCUAGUUGGUGGGGUAAAGGCCUACCAAGGCGACGAUCCGUAACUGGUCUGAGAGGAUGAUCAGUCACACUGGAACUGAGACACGGUCCAGACUCCUACGGGAGGCAGCAAUGGGGAAUAUUGGACAAUGGGCGAAAGCCUGAUCCAGCCAUGCCGCGUGUGUGAAGAAGGUCUUCGGAUUGUAAAGCACUUUAAGUUGGGAGGAAGGGCAGUAAGUUAAUACCUUGCUGUUUUGACGUUACCAACAGAAUAAGCACCGGCUAACUUCGUG
This 484-nucleotide ribosomal RNA is filed under the name uncultured bacterium. Its description in RNAcentral is "partial 16S ribosomal RNA". It matches the Rfam family "Bacterial small subunit ribosomal RNA", at positions 30 to 507 of the family's 1533-position model. The record is from RNAcentral.